This 497-nucleotide ribosomal RNA is filed under the name uncultured bacterium. RNAcentral describes it as "partial 16S ribosomal RNA". It matches the Rfam family "Bacterial small subunit ribosomal RNA", at positions 28 to 507 of the family's 1533-position model. The record is from RNAcentral.
GAUGAACGCUGGCGGCGUGCCUAAUACAUGCAAGUCGAGCGAACAGACGAGGAGCUUGCUCCUCUGACGUUAGCGGCGGACGGGUGAGUAACACGUGGAUAACCUACCUAUCAGACUGGGAUAACUUCGGGAAACCGGAGCUAAUACCGGAUAAUAUCUUGAACCGCAUGGUUCAAUAGUGAAAGACGGCUUUGCUGUCACUUAUAGAUGGAUCCGCGCCGCAUUAGCUAGUUGGUAAGGUAACGGCUUACCAAGGCAACGAUGCGUAGCCGACCUGAGAGGGGGAUCGGCCACACGGGAGCUGAGACACGGUCCAGACUCCUACGGGAGGCAGCAGUAGGGAAUCUUCCGCAAUGGGCGAAAGCCUGACGGAGCAACGCCGCGUGAGUGAUGAAGGUCUUCGGAUCGUAAAACUCUGUUAUUAGGGAAGAACAAAUGUGUAAGUAACUAUGCACGUCUUGACGGUACCUAAUCAGAAAGCCACGGCUAACUACGUG